Molecule: ribosomal RNA, 2902 nt
Filed under: Escherichia coli
Lineage: Bacteria; Pseudomonadati; Pseudomonadota; Gammaproteobacteria; Enterobacterales; Enterobacteriaceae
Description: 23S ribosomal RNA
Rfam family: Bacterial large subunit ribosomal RNA
Source: RNAcentral
GGUUAAGCGACUAAGCGUACACGGUGGAUGCCCCGGCAGUCAGAGGCGAUGAAGGACGUGCUAAUCUGCGAUAAGCGUCGGUAAGGUGAUAUGAACCGUUAUAACCGGCGAUUUCCGAAUGGGGAAACCCAGUGUGUUUCGACACACUAUCAUUAACUGAAUCCAUAGGUUAAUGAGGCGAACCGGGGGAACUGAAACAUCUAAGUACCCCGAGGAAAAGAAAUCAACCGAGAUUCCCCCAGUAGCGGCGAGCGAACGGGGAGCAGCCCAGAGCCUGAAUCAGUAUGUGUGUUAGUGGAAGCGUCUGGAAAGGCGCGCGAUACAGGGUGACAGCCCCGUACACAAAAAUGCACAUGCUGUGAGCUCGAUGAGUAGGGCGGGACACGUGGUAUCCUGUCUGAAUAUGGGGGACCAUCCUCCAAGGCUAAAUACUCCUGACUGACCGAUAGUGAACCAGUACCGUGAGGGAAAGGCGAAAAGAACCCCGGCGAGGGGAGUGAAAAAGAACCUGAAACCGUGUACGUACAAGCAGUGGGAGCACGCUUAGGCGUGUGACUGCGUACCUUUUGUAUAAUGGGUCAGCGACUUAUAUUCUGUAGCAAGGUUAACCGAAUAGGGGAGCCGAAGGGAAACCGAGUCUUAACUGGGCGUUAAGUUGCAGGGUAUAGACCCGAAACCCGGUGAUCUAGCCAUGGGCAGGUUGAAGGUUGGGUAACACUAACUGGAGGACCGAACCGACUAAUGUUGAAAAAUUAGCGGAUGACUUGUGGCUGGGGGUGAAAGGCCAAUCAAACCGGGAGAUAGCUGGUUCUCCCCGAAAGCUAUUUAGGUAGCGCCUCGUGAAUUCAUCUCCGGGGGUAGAGCACUGUUUCGGCAAGGGGGUCAUCCCGACUUACCAACCCGAUGCAAACUGCGAAUACCGGAGAAUGUUAUCACGGGAGACACACGGCGGGUGCUAACGUCCGUCGUGAAGAGGGAAACAACCCAGACCGCCAGCUAAGGUCCCAAAGUCAUGGUUAAGUGGGAAACGAUGUGGGAAGGCCCAGACAGCCGGGAUGUUGGCUUAGAAGCAGCCAUCAUUUAAAGAAAGCGUAAUAGCUCACUGGUCGAGUCGGCCUGCGCGGAAGAUGUAACGGGGCUAAACCAUGCACCGAAGCUGCGGCAGCGACGCUGAUGCGUUGUUGGGUAGGGGAGCGUUCUGUAAGCCUGCGAAGGUGUGCUGUGAGGCAUGCUGGAGGUAUCAGAAGUGCGAAUGCUGACAUAAGUAACGAUAAAGCGGGUGAAAAGCCCGCUCGCCGGAAGACCAAGGGUUCCUGUCCAACGUUAAUCGGGGCAGGGUGAGUCGACCCCUAAGGCGAGGCCGAAAGGCGUAGUCGAUGGGAAACAGGUUAAUAUUCCUGUACUUGGUGUUACUGCGAAGGGGGACGGAGAAGGCUAUGUUGGCCGGGCGACGGUUGUCCCGGUUUAAGCGUGUAGGCUGGUUUUCCGGGCAAAUCCGGAAAAUCAAGGCUGAGGCGUGAUGACGAGGCACUACGGUGCUGAAGCAACAAAUGCCCUGCUUCCGGGAAAAGCCUCUAAGCAUCAGGUAACAUCAAAUCGUACCCCAAACCGACACAGGUGGUCAGGUAGAGAAUACCAAGGCGCUUGAGAGAACUCGGGUGAAGGAACUAGGCAAAAUGGUGCCGUAACUUCGGGAGAAGGCACGCUGAUAUGUAGGUGAAGUCCCUCGCGGAUGGAGCUGAAAUCAGUCGAAGAUACCAGCUGGCUGCAACUGUUUAUUAAAAACACAGCACUGUGCAAACACGAAAGUGGACGUAUACGGUGUGACGCCUGCCCGGUGCCGGAAGGUUAAUUGAUGGGGUUAGCCGCAAGGCGAAGCUCUUGAUCGAAGCCCCGGUAAACGGCGGCCGUAACUAUAACGGUCCUAAGGUAGCGAAAUUCCUUGUCGGGUAAGUUCCGACCUGCACGAAUGGCGUAAUGAUGGCGGGCUGUCUCCACCCGAGACUCAGUGAAAUUGAACUCGCUGUGAAGAUGCAGUGUACCCGCGGCAAGACGGAAAGACCCCGUGAACCUUUACUAUAGCUUGACACUGAACAUUGAGCCUUGAUGUGUAGGAUAGGUGGGAGGCUUUGAAGUGUGGACGCCAGUCUGCAUGGAGCCGACCUUGAAAUACCACCCUUUAAUGUUUGAUGUUCUAACGUUGACCCGUGAUCCGGGUUGCGGACAGUGUCUGGUGGGUAGUUUGACUGGGGCGGUCUCCUCCUAAAGAGUAACGGAGGAGCACGAAGGUUGGCUAAUCUCGGUCGGACAUCAGGAGGUUAGUGCAAUGGCAUAAGCCAGCUUGACUGCGAGCGUGACGGCGCGAGCAGGUGCGAAAGCAGGUCAUAGUGAUCCGGUGGUUCUGAAUGGAAGGGCCAUCGCUCAACGGAUAAAAGGUACUCCGGGGAUAACAGGCUGAUACCGCCCAAGAGUUCAUAUCGACGGCGGUGUUUGGCACCUCGAUGUCGGCUCAUCACAUCCCGGGGCUGAAGUAGGUCCCAAGGGUAUGGCUGUUCGCCAUUUAAAGUGGUACGCGAGCUGGGUUUAGAACGUCGUGAGACAGUUCGGUCCCUAUCUGCCGUGGGCGCUGGAGAACUGAGGGGGCUGCUCCUAGUACGAGAGGACCGGAGUGGACGCAUCACUGGUGUUCGGGUUGUCAUGCCAAUGGCACUGCCCGGUAGCUAAAUGCGGAAGAGAUAAGUGCUGAAAGCAUCUAAGCACGAAACUUGCCCCGAGAUGAGUUCUCCCUGACCCUUUAAGGGUCCUGAAGGAACGUUGAAGACGACGACGUUGAUAGGCCGGGUGUGUAAGCGCAGCGAUGCGUUGAGCUAACCGGUACUAAUGAACCGUGAGGCUUAACCUU